This 272-nucleotide ribosomal RNA is filed under the name uncultured bacterium. RNAcentral's name for it is "partial 16S ribosomal RNA". It matches the Rfam family "Bacterial small subunit ribosomal RNA", at positions 524 to 794 of the family's 1533-position model. The record is from RNAcentral.
UACGGAGGGUGCGAGCGUUAAUCGGAAUUACUGGGCGUAAAGCGCGCGUAGGUGGCUUGAUAAGCCGGUUGUGAAAGCCCCCGGGCUCAACCUGGGAACGGCAUCCGGAACUGUCAAGCUAGAGUGCAGGAGAGGAAGGUAGAAUUCCCGGUGUAGCGGUGAAAUGCGUAGAGAUCGGGAGGAAUACCAGUGGCGAAGGCGGCCUUCUGGACUGACACUGACACUGAGGUGCGAAAGCGUGGGUAGCAAACAGGAUUAGAUACCCCGGUAGU